GUUGUUCGAACGCUAAUCAACAAUGAUCAUUAUCAAAUAUUUAAUUACUGCCACCAAAACUGUCAAUGUCAACUUUGUUUGGGUUGCUGAAAACAUAAUUAAUUACAAUUAUGAGAUUUAUUAUUAAUUAUGUUAAUAAUUAUUGUUAUAUUAAUUGAUUAUAGACUCCACAGACUUUUUAACAACCCAAAAAAAGUUGACAUUGACAGUAAUUAAUUAUUUGAUAAUGAUCAUUGUUGAUUAGCGUUCGAACAACCGGCCCUUUUAUAGUCACAAACACGAAACACAUCAACAAGUCACGUUCGUAAGAGUUCGUUGCGCAUGAUUCAUUUUCCGUCAUUUUGUUUAUGAUUUUGUCCUGUUUUGUUUUUUUUUAAAUUGAGGUAAUUUUAUGACCAGUGAUAUGGCUAAGACAGAUAGACUAUUAUUGAAAUGGAACAACAUACAAUAAUAUGUAGAACAUGUUGUGUUGGUGGUUGUACCUUCUCCACAUCGAUUACGUUUUCCAGAGAUGAAAUGGACAUGUUCUUGGAAGGGUUGAAACUUAUUCAAAGCAUUUUAAAGAAGAUUUUAGGAUACAUGAGAGUUCGAACAAGAGGAAUUACCAAAGCUCAUUUUUACCACCACUAGGUAAGAACCACAUAGGACAAAUAAUUAAAUUUUGAUAGAGCUAAAAGUUAGCCAACGCCUAUCGAGUAAAGUACAUAUCCAACAAUUAAAAUACUUUGGAUCAAUCAAAUUACAGGAAUAUGCAAAAGACCUAUGCAUGAGUUAAAAGAAAUGACCAGAGACAGAGAUCUUUUUAGACAGACAAUAUAUGAUAUCACGUCGACCACUACAUUCCCCCCCGGGGGUCAGGAUUGAAGAGAGAGGCGUCAACGCCCUUCGGUAGGGAUCUAUGGAGGAGUAUCACCAAGCCGCAAGCCCUUAUCCCUUGCCGUACCGCUUCUCCAUAGGCCGAUCAGAUGCCAGUUUAUUCCAGACAAGGCCGUAGACUCUAUCGAGUUUUAUACUACGGCAUCGGCCUUUUAAUAAUUUCUUGACCUGGCUGAGGCUUGAACCAUCGAUCGCAAACCACUAUACUUGUCAAUCGACUGCGCCUUUGCCAACUGAACCGUCUAGACUGACAUUUUGAAGAUAAUUAUUGUAAUACUACUAUUCCAUUAUUAGAAAUUUUGUUGGGAUUUCUCCGCAAUAUAUUACUUAUUUGAGUUCAUUUCUGAUAAUAAUAAAGGUCCAGAUAUUUAUGUUUUACUCAAAUAGAUUUAUUUAUUUGUCAUGUUUUAUAAUUAUUGUAUUUAAA
RNAcentral lists this long non-coding RNA (1303 nucleotides) under Diabrotica virgifera virgifera (western corn rootworm). Its description in RNAcentral is "uncharacterized LOC126878835". The record is from RNAcentral. Lineage: Eukaryota; Metazoa; Arthropoda; Insecta; Coleoptera; Chrysomelidae.